GGAAGGAUCAUUACAGAAUUGUCAACGGGUUGUUGCUGGUCCUCGAACGGGGACAUGUGCACGCUCUGUUUACACAUCCACUCACACCUGUGCACCCUCCGUAGUUCUGUGGUCUGGGGGACCCUGUCUUCCUGCCGUGGUUCUACGUCUUUACACACACACACUGUAAUAAAGUCUUAUGGAAUGUAUGCCGCGUCUAACGCAAUACAAUACAACUUUCAGCAACGGAUCUCUUGGCUCUCGCAUCGAUGAAGAACGCAGCGAAAUGCGAUAAGUAAUGUGAAUUGCAGAAUUCAGUGAAUCAUCGAAUCUUUGAACGCACCUUGCGCCCCUUGGCUAUUCCGAGGGGCAUGCCUGUUUGAGUAUCAUGAACACCUCAACUCUCAUGGUUCGCCGUGAUGAGCUUGGACUCUGGGGGUUUUGCUGGCCUGCGGUCGGCUCCCCUCAAAUGAAUCAGCCUCCCAGUGUUUGGUGGCAUCACGGGUGUGAUAAAUAUCUACGCUCGCAGUUGUCCACCGGGUAACCUUUGGCGACAAAGGUUUGCUGGAGCUCACAGAUGUCUCUCCUCGGCGAAGACAGCUUUUUGAACGUUCGAUCUCAAAUCAGGUAGGACUACCCGCUGAACUUAAGCAUAUCAAUAAGCGGAGGAAAAGAAACUAACAAGGAUUCCCCUAGUAACUGCGAGUGAAGCGGGAAGAGCUCAAAUUUAAAAUCUGGCGUGCCUCUGGUCGUCCGAGUUGUAGUCUAGAGAAGUGUUUUCCGUGUUGGACCGUGUAUAAGUCCCUUGGAACAGGGCGUCGUAGAGGGUGAGAAUCCCGUCUUUGACACGGACUACCAACGCUUUGUGAUGCGCUCUCAAAGAGUCGAGUUGUUUGGGAAUGCAGCUCAAAAUGGGUGGUAAAUUCCAUCUAAAGCUAAAUAUAGGCGAGAGACCGAUAGCGAACAAGUACCGUGAGGAAAAA
RNAcentral lists this small RNA (962 nucleotides) under uncultured fungus. Its description in RNAcentral is "eukaryotic LSU rRNA". The stretch from base 593 to 962 matches the Rfam family "Eukaryotic large subunit ribosomal RNA", at positions 1 to 363 of the family's 3401-position model. Lineage: Eukaryota; Fungi. The record is from RNAcentral.